Melospiza melodia melodia is the source of this 331-nucleotide long non-coding RNA. RefSeq lists it as uncharacterized. The transcript is spliced from 2 exons. The record is from RefSeq and is a predicted model, not a curated record. NCBI's taxonomy places the organism in Eukaryota, Metazoa, Chordata, Aves, Passeriformes, Passerellidae.
GAAAUCUUACUCUUGAACUUCAUUUUCUCUUUCUCUUUUACUGAAAGGGGUGACAAAUAACAGGGCCCACUGUGGAGGUCAUUGAGGAAAUGAUGCUGAGAAUUCACUUGCUGGACAAAGGCUAUAGAGAAGGCAUUUCUUCAAGUACCUGGAUCGGCAGACAAUAAUUUGGAGAUUCACUUGCUUCCUCUUCUUUUAUGGAGAUGUGGUAUUACUAGCCUGUUUGUCAGAUGUCUAUUUUCCUUUGAGUACUCUGUCUCAAAGCCCUUAAAAGGCUUCUGUGUGAACUUAAUCUGUUCUAAAUGGCCAAAUAAAUGAUGACUGUGGCUAA